This 74-nucleotide transfer RNA is filed under the name Chloroflexota bacterium. RNAcentral's name for it is "tRNA-Glu". It matches the Rfam family "tRNA". From Rfam's summary of the family: Transfer RNA (tRNA) molecules are approximately 80 nucleotides in length. Their secondary structure includes four short double-helical elements and three loops (D, anti-codon, and T loops). Lineage: Bacteria; Bacillati; Chloroflexota. The record is from RNAcentral.
GCCCCCAUCGUCUAGCGGCCCAGGACGCCGCCCUUUCAAGGCGGAGAUCAGGGGUUCGAAUCCCCUUGGGGGCA